Small nucleolar RNA from Cricetulus griseus (Chinese hamster), 131 nucleotides. Its record names the gene SNORA71. It matches the Rfam family "Small nucleolar RNA SNORA71". From Rfam's summary of the family: The members of this family belong to the H/ACA class of snoRNAs which bind a number of proteins (including dyskerin, Gar1p and Nop10p) to form snoRNP complexes. This class of snoRNAs are thought to guide the sites of modification of uridines to pseudouridines by forming direct base pairing interactions with substrate RNAs. This family includes U71 (SNORA71), ACA39 (SNORA39) and ACA60 (SNORA60). The record is from Ensembl. Lineage: Eukaryota; Metazoa; Chordata; Mammalia; Rodentia; Cricetidae.
CCCUGUAUUCGGAAGCAAUUAUAAGCUGUCUGUGCCCAGGUCAUACAAUUGCAAGGAGAGGAUGCCGAAAGCCUUACCUUGUAUUUGGAAGGUUCAUUCCUGUCCUUGCCAAACCCUGGUGCUUUGGAACA